This is a long non-coding RNA of Cavia porcellus (domestic guinea pig), 3016 nucleotides long. RefSeq lists it as uncharacterized. Lineage: Eukaryota; Metazoa; Chordata; Mammalia; Rodentia; Caviidae. The transcript is spliced from 3 exons. The record is from RefSeq and is a predicted model, not a curated record.
CCUGGUCUCCCUUAUGUGAAAUGGGACAAAGGAGACACCUUGGUAAGCCGUGAAGAGCCAGAGUGCAAGAGAUGUUUUAAAAUUAUAAAAUGCUCCAGAAACACAAAAUAUGGUAGUUUUUGACUAUGGCUUUUUCUAAGUUGACUUUUAAAAAUUGCUAUCAGAAAAACAGGGCUAGUUUUUUAAAGGAACUUUAUUUUAAGUAAGAUUUGGGUAAGUUUAUGGCAACUGUACAGAAUGCCAGCUGGACUCAGAGAGAAGCUUAAUAUAUCACAGAUGCCACAAAUAUCACGGCAUCAUCGAUGUGGCCUUGAAAUGUGAGACAUGUUUGUCUGCGAGCAUCUGCCUCCCCACCACUGAGUUGCUGUUUAAAGGAAUACGUCCUCCAUCUGCCCCUUCAUGUCUUAUUUACAUUUCCUGGUGUGGAAAGUUCUCAGCGAAUAAUAUGGGCCCACGGCCAGCCGCAGGUUCGGGUGGGGAGACAGAGCUGUCCACAGAACUCGCUUCGGCCCAGGAAGCUCAGACUCAGGUGGAGGAGACGGUGGAGAUGUAGGCGAGCAUAGCACAGGAGGUUUUAGAGUUGACAGCGUCCACAUGGUGUCCGGCACAGCACGGGAAGCCAUAAAUCAGUGCUCAGCCUCUACUCCUGCCCAUCACACUGCUGUGCCCACUGUGUGCCCACAUGGUGAGGUCCAAGCCACAUCAGCCCCUGUACACAGGGCCCAGGUUGAAGACAGCCUCAGAGCCCUGGCCUCAGGACGCAUCCUUCCCUCCGUGUCUGCUCUGGCUGUGGGCUGUGAUAAUGGCCGCUCCACCCUCUUCCCAUCCCUCUCACAUUCUGCCAGUAUCUCAAGAAUACGGAAACCCAGGCCAGAUUUCCUGCAGUGGAACCUAAGUCUCUCUCGAGAGAUCUGAUUUCACCAAGCCGCCACAGUUUUCUGUUGACCCAGAUUACUGGUGAGGAGAAACCAGCAGAAAGCCCGGAAAAGGACAGAUCUACAUUACUGUGUGAAUAACAUCAAUCAGCGUGGCAGCACCGGCUCCUGUCACUUAGCAUCUCACAGCUGGACUUUGGGUCCUUACCAGGGCCCACUGAUGCGCCUGAAGUAGAGAACAAUUAUCCCAGAUGACCUCAUCUCAGACCCAGCUGUGAAGCUCUUUGGGCUUCCAGGGGUUCCCGUCUUCAGUACCAAUGGGGCUGUGGAAUCUGCAGGCUCUGAACCGGCGCCACAGCUGGGCUUGCUGCUGAGCCUUAUUUUGCUCUGAGUGUAGUUUAACACUAUCAUUACCAUAGGCUGCUCAGCAGAGCAUCCAAAGCCGACUCACAUCACCCAGGUGCUGGGCAUCUUCUUGCAGGAAGGGUGAUGUACUAGGGCAACACAACCUCUAGAAACACAGGGCCAUUGACCCUGGAGACUGCAUCAGUGUGACAGAUGCACAGAACUCAAAGGAGCUUAUCACCUGCCUCCUGACAUGAGUGGAGCUUGCAAGACGUGUGGCGUGCCUGCAACAUCUGCCCCCGAAACUGCACCCUUUCUUCAACAUUGAGGACUAAGGAGGCUGCUGAUGAGAUAGUUCCUGAAUCUGAGGGAGAGGAAGGCCCCCCUGGGACCCAAAAGGGCAAAGUCACAUAGCGGGGACAUCCUUGACAGGAGCCUGGAUCUUUGGAUGAGGAGGAACUGAGCCUUCACUCAACCUAUAGGAAAGGAAUAGGGAAAAAAUAAUUGCCCAAAAGCACUGUCCCCCUCUGAUCUCCUUCCCGGAGCGUGGAAGCCAGAGGUGAAAAACUACCAGGAUGUCCUCACUAAUCAGGCUCCUGGACACCAAGCAGGCCCAAGGACAGCAGAGGUGGGGGACAAAGGAGGUCUCAGCUGUGUGUGCAGAAGUGGGGCGUGCUCUAACAAGAUAAUUAAUUUUAGUAACCAAUGUGGGGUGAGGGCAACAAGUUAAACAGCACUGUUUUGUCAGCAGAAACAUUACAACUGGCUUCAUCAUCUUGACAAACCUGCUUUCAAACUGAGAUGGCAAACUCUUAAGAACACUAUGACUUUAAAUAAGUUCUUCAUGGUAGUUUGGAAAUAGCAAGUACUAAGUUAAUUUAAAGAAUAGUAAAAAUAUAAACUAUGCAAUUAGAACUGUAAAUUACACUUUUCAAGUACAUACAGAACAUAAAAUGUUUGCCAGAGUUGACCAUGGAGCAGAAUACAAAGCAAAGGCUCAGUGGGCUGAGUCCAUCCAAAGUGUCUCCCAGGGCCAUAGUGGGAUUGAGGUAAAUAUUUAAAAUGAGAAGACAGAGCUGCAGGGGAAGAGAACAAGAAGUCAACAAGAAGCACCCCCCCCACCCCUGCUGCAAAUCAGUACCAUGUGCGGGGCGCCAGGCCACAGGAGGGGCCAGAUGCCAGCCCCUUCCAGUGCAUGUGCUGGGAAACAACAAGACCCACCCCCAACCCCACCCAUAAGCGACCAGCUGAUCCCGAGAAACACAGGCUUCAAUGCAGCUAUUGAAGUGAAUUCAACUUAAUGCUUGCAACGUUCAGUGUUUCACUGACGCUGCAGGUCAAAGCUGGUAGUCUGAUCAUCUAUUCAGGGGAUGGCAAUACCCAAGGUAGCAUCUAUGGGGCCUCCUUCUGAAGUGGUGGCCAUUGUUGAUUCCCUAUUGUCUUGUUUGGAAGUCCAGUAUCAUUUCAUUAUUUUGUUUGCUUGGGUUUUAUUUUGUUUUGUUUUGCUUGAUUGUAUUAUACCUUAUGGCAUGAGCUGUAAUUUAAAGAUGGUAAGAUAUAUUAUGGUAGCCAUUUUGGAUUUGCUAUUAUCUGUUUUGAAGUAUAAUCAUUGUUUUGUUUUUAUUGGUUGUAUUCUGUUAUGUUUUGUGUUAUUUUCACUAUGACUGAAGGUUUGGGCAACUAUUUCGAAGACAACAAGAGGCAUUACGACAACCAUUGUUGAUUUCUUAUUGUUUUGAAGUCCUGAGUCACUUACACUGAUUCUGUUUUAUUUCUUGGUUUUAUUCUCUUUAAAA